AUCGCUAGAGCAAGUGUAAUCGCCGGAGCUGGAGCCUUUCUUGGUGUUGGUGUAAUAGCUAAAGAAAUUGUUAUGUUUUAAUUAAGUGUGUUUCACGAAAAUUAAUGAAUUAAUUAAGAAUUUCUUCAACCUAUUUCUUCUUCUCAUUUGGUGCUCCUUCUUCUUCUUCUUUCUUUCUUUUUAUUUUUUAUUUUUACAGUGGCUGUAAAAUGCAACGAACCAAACCUAGUUACGAAUGAAGUCCAAUUUAAUUUGACUUGAUUAUAGCAAAAUAC
Molecule: long non-coding RNA, 275 nt
Filed under: Salvia miltiorrhiza (redroot sage)
Lineage: Eukaryota; Viridiplantae; Streptophyta; Magnoliopsida; Lamiales; Lamiaceae
Description: long non-coding RNA (SMIL_LNC000856)
Source: RNAcentral